RNAcentral lists this small RNA (547 nucleotides) under Pan troglodytes (chimpanzee). RNAcentral describes it as "processed transcript". The record is from RNAcentral. Lineage: Eukaryota; Metazoa; Chordata; Mammalia; Primates; Hominidae.
GUCACUCUCCCGGAGAUGGUGUCUGGGGUGGCCUCUAAGCCUUGAAUGUACCCCCAAAAGAAGCUGUAUUAUAAAGCGAUACUGUGAGAAAAGAUUCGUGUCUAAAUACCUGGCAACAAUUGGAAUUGACUAUGGAGUCACAAAGGUACACGUCAGAGACAGAGAAAUCAAAGUUAACAUCUUUGAUAUGGCUGGACAUCCCUUCUUCUAUGAGGUUCGAAAUGAGUUUUACAAGGACACACAGGGUGUGAUACUGGUCUAUGAUGUUGGGCAGAAAGACUCCUUUGACGCCCUUGAUGCAUGGCUGGCAGAAAUGAAGCAAGAGCUUGGACCUCAUGGAAACAUGGAAAAUAUUAUAUUUGUAGUUUGUGCCAACAAGAUUGAUUGUACCAAACAUCGCUGUGUAGAUGAAAGUGAAGGACGUCUUUGGGCUGAAAGCAAAGGGUUCCUGUACUUUGAAACUUCAGCACAAACUGGAGAAGGCAUCAAUGAGAUGUUCCAGACCUUUUAUAUAUCCAUAGUUGAUUUAUGUGAAAAUGGCGGGAAA